GUUGGUGCUUUAGCGGAGGGGGUACACCCGUUCUCAUUCCGAACACGGAAGUUAAGCCCUCCAUCGCCGAUGGUACUUUCUUUGAAGGGAGAGUAGGUAAGCGCCAACU
This 109-nucleotide ribosomal RNA is filed under the name Candidatus Kaiserbacteria bacterium RIFOXYB1_FULL_46_14. The record is from RNAcentral. Lineage: Bacteria; Candidatus Kaiseribacteriota.